Molecule: ribosomal RNA, 607 nt
Filed under: uncultured organism
Description: bacterial SSU rRNA
Rfam family: Bacterial small subunit ribosomal RNA
Source: RNAcentral
CGGUAAAGCUUUUGCGGUUUGGGAUGGGCCUGCGUCCUAUCAGGUAGUUGGUGAGGUAAGUGCUCACCAAGCCUAUGACGGGUAGCUGGUCUGAGAGGAUGGUCAGCCAGACUGGGACUGCGACACGGCCCAGACUCCUACGGGAGGCAGCAACUAGGAAUUGUGCGCAAUGGACGAAAGUCUGACGCCGCGACAUCGCGUGGAGGAUGAAGGUCUUCGGAUUGUAAACUCCUUUUCUUACCGAACAAGUUCUGAGUGUAGGUAAGGAAUAAGUGCCUGCUAACCACGUGUCAGAAGCAUCGGUAAUACGUGGGGCACGAGCGUUAUCCGGAUUUACUGGGCGUAAAGAGAAGCGUAGGCGGCUCGAUAAGUUUGGUGUUAAAUCUUCCGGCUCAACCGGAAACAAGCACCGAAAACUAUCGAGAUUGAGUCGAGUAGGGAAGAGGGGAAUUCCUGGUGGAGCGGUUAAAUGCGUAGAUAUCAGGAGGAAUACCAAGGGCGAAGGCACCUCUUUGGACUCGUACUGACGCUGAGGCUCGAAAGCGUGGGUAGCAAAACGGAUUAGAUACCCGUGUAGUCCACGCCGUAAACGAUCCCUGUUAGAUGU